ACGCUUGAAGUCAGUCGCGUCUGCUAGAAAUCAGCCUUGCUUUUGCUUGGUGUACUUUCUGGUUUUGACGGGUCAGCAUCAAUUUCGAUUGUCGGAUAAAGUCGUUGGGAAUGUGGCAUCUUUGGAUGUGUUAUAGCCCUUCGUCGCAUACGGUGAUUGGGAUUGAGGAACUCAGCACGCCGCAAGGCCGGGUCUUUUUUGACCACGACUCGUGCUUAGGAUGCUGGCAUAAUGGCUUUAAUCGACCCGUCUUGAAACACGGACCAAGGAGUC
This 273-nucleotide ribosomal RNA is filed under the name Inocybe sp. PBM2909. RNAcentral describes it as "partial large subunit ribosomal RNA". Lineage: Eukaryota; Fungi; Basidiomycota; Agaricomycetes; Agaricales; Inocybaceae. The record is from RNAcentral.